UGCAGCCGAGCGGUAUAGCUUCUUCGGAAGCUUGAGAGCGGCGCACGGGUGCGUAACACGUGUGCAACCUACCUUUAUCUGGGGGAUAGCCUUUCGAAAGGAAGAUUAAUACCCCAUAAUAUAAUGAUUGGCAUCAAUUAUUAUUGAAAACUCCGGUGGAUAGAGAUGGGCACGCGCAAGAUUAGAUAGUUGGUGAGGUAACGGCUCACCAAGUCAAUGAUCUUUAGGGGUCCUGAGAGGGAGAUCCCCCACACUGGUACUGAGACACGGACCAGACUCCUACGGGAGGCAGCAGUGAGGAAUAUUGGACAAUGGGUGAAAGCCUGAUCCAGCCAUCCCGCGUGAAGGAUGACGGUCCUAUGGAUUGUAAACUUCUUUUGUACAGGGAUAAACCUACUCUCGUGAGGGUAGCUGAAGGUACUGUACGAAUAAGCACCGGCUAACUCCGUGCCAGCAGCCGCGGUAAUACGGAGGGUGCAAGCGUUAUCCGGAUUUAUUGGGUUUAAAGGGUCCGUAGGCGGACUUGUAAGUCAGUGGUGAAAUCUCAUAGCUUAACUAUGAAACUGCCAUUGAUACUGC
This 579-nucleotide ribosomal RNA is filed under the name Kaistella haifensis. RNAcentral's name for it is "bacterial SSU rRNA". It matches the Rfam family "Bacterial small subunit ribosomal RNA", at positions 56 to 636 of the family's 1533-position model. The record is from RNAcentral. Lineage: Bacteria; Pseudomonadati; Bacteroidota; Flavobacteriia; Flavobacteriales; Weeksellaceae.